This 497-nucleotide ribosomal RNA is filed under the name uncultured bacterium. RNAcentral describes it as "partial 16S ribosomal RNA". It matches the Rfam family "Bacterial small subunit ribosomal RNA", at positions 28 to 507 of the family's 1533-position model. The record is from RNAcentral.
GAUGAACGCUGGCGGCGUGCCUAAUACAUGCAAGUCGAGCGAACAGACGAGGAGCUUGCUCCUCUGACGUUAGCGGCGGACGGGUGAGUAACACGUGGAUAACCUACCUAUAAGACUGGGAUAACUUCGGGAAACCGGAGCUAAUACCGGAUAAUAUAUUGAACCGCAUGGUUCAAUAGUGAAAGACGGUUUUGCUGUCACUUAUAGAUGGAUCCGCGCCGCAUUAGCUAGUUGGUAAGGUAACGGCUUACCAAGGCAACGAUGCGUAGCCGACCUGAGAGGGUGAUCGGCCACACUGGAACUGAGACACGGUCCAGACUCCUACGGGAGGCAGCAGUGGGGAAUCUUCCGCAAUGGGCGAAAGCCUGACGGAGCAACGCCGCGUGGGUGAUGAAGGUCUUCGGAUCGUAAAACUCUGUUAUUAGGGAAGAACAAAUGUGUAAGUAACUAUGCACGUCUUGACGGUACCUAAUCAGAAAGCCACGGCUAACUACGUG